AAACGGCCGCGGUAUCUUGACCGAGCGAAGGUAGCAUAAUCAUUUGUCUCUUAAAUAGAGACUGGUAUGAAUGGCAAGACGGAACCUAACUGUCUCCUUUUUCUAGCUCCUAAUUUUACCUCCUUGUGAAGAGGCAAGGAUAACUUCGUUAGACGAGAAGACCCUGUCGAGCUUAUAGCUAACAGCUAGUUUUUAUAUGCCUAAUUAACCUCUGCUAAUUUUAAAUAAAUUUACAAAAACUUAGCUUUAAAUACCUAUCUCUAGCUUUGGUUGGGGCAACCAUGGAGAAACUUAAUCCUCCAUUUACUUUUAUUUAACUAAGACAAAACCAAUCUAAUAUUCAAAACAAGUAUUAAUGAUCCACCUAGGUGAUCAAAGGAAAAAGUUACCGCAGGGAUAACAGCGUCAUCUUCUUUGAGAGUUCAUAUUGACAAGAAGGUUUGCGACCUCGAUGUUGGAUCGGGACAUCC
This 470-nucleotide ribosomal RNA is filed under the name Rumphia orbicularis. RNAcentral describes it as "partial 16S large subunit ribosomal RNA". It matches the Rfam family "Bacterial large subunit ribosomal RNA", at positions 1925 to 2547 of the family's 2925-position model. Lineage: Eukaryota; Metazoa; Echinodermata; Echinoidea; Clypeasteroida; Laganidae. The record is from RNAcentral.